CCGGGUGGCAGUAGUGAGGAAUAUUGGUCAAUGGGCGCGAGCCUGAACCAGCCAAGUCGCGUGAGGGAAGACGGUCCUAUGGAUUGUAAACCUCUUUUGUCGGGGAACAAAAGACGCCACGCGUGGCGUUCCGAGAGUACCCGAAGAAAAAGCAUCGGCUAACUCCGCGCCAGCAGCCGCGGUAAUACGGAGGCUGCGAGCGUUAUCCGGAUUCAUUGGGUUUAAAGGGGGCGCAGGCGGACGAUCAAGUCAGCGGUAAAAUUGAGAGGCUCAAACGCUUCGAGCCGUUGAAACUGGUGUUCUUGAGUGAGUGAGAAGUAUGCGGAAUGCGUGGUGUAGCGGUGAAAUGCAGAGAGAUCACGCAGAACUCCGAUUGCGAAGGCAGCAUACCGGCGCUCAUCUGACGCUCAUGCACGAAAGUGUGGGUAUCGAACAGGAUUAGAUACCCUUGUAGUC
This 456-nucleotide ribosomal RNA is filed under the name uncultured bacterium. Its description in RNAcentral is "partial 16S ribosomal RNA". It matches the Rfam family "Bacterial small subunit ribosomal RNA", at positions 341 to 795 of the family's 1533-position model. The record is from RNAcentral.